Molecule: ribosomal RNA, 253 nt
Filed under: uncultured bacterium
Lineage: Bacteria
Description: partial 16S ribosomal RNA
Rfam family: Bacterial small subunit ribosomal RNA
Source: RNAcentral
UACGUAGGCUUCAAGCGUUAUCCGGAAUUACUGGGUGUAAAGCGUCUGUAGGCGGCAGAGUAAGUUUGGCAUGAAAGACCGGGGCUUAACCCCGUGUUUGUGUCGAAAACUGCUCAGCUAGAAUCUGGGAGAGGGAAGCAGAAUGAUGUGAGUAGGGGUGCAAUCCGUUGAUACACAUCAGAAUACCAAAAGCGAAGGCAGCUUCCUGGAACAGUAUUGACGCUCAGAGACGAAAGCGUGGGGAGCGAAAAGG